Long non-coding RNA from Rattus rattus (black rat), 1067 nucleotides. RefSeq lists it as uncharacterized. The record is from RefSeq and is a predicted model, not a curated record. The transcript is spliced from 2 exons. NCBI's taxonomy places the organism in Eukaryota, Metazoa, Chordata, Mammalia, Rodentia, Muridae.
AAAUCAUCACUGAACACUAAACUUGUUUCAUGUAGAGAGAGGAGGAACUAAAUGUCUUCAUGGAGCUGCUGUCUCCCACACGGGUAGCACUUUGAUUCUAAUGGCAUGGUGCUUCAAGGGGCUCCCUGAAAAUCAGACAUUAACAAGUACCAUGAAGACAGAACUAGAGCAGGAGAGGGAGUGAUGGAUGGGAGGAAGCUAUUUGGGCCAAGGGAGGCUCUCUGAGAAGAUAUUGGGACUCAUUUAGAGGGAGGGACCAAUAAAGGGUAAAAAGCUUCACAGAAAGACUUGAGAUGCAGAGACACCCCCAGUGGUGGAUGACAGAUGCAGAGAACCCCAGUGCUGAGACCAAAGCCGGCGCGAUGCCGCACUUUCUGGACUGGUUUGUGCCCGUCUACCUGGUCAUCUCCGUCCUAAUCCUGGUGGGCUUUGGAGCCUGCAUCUACUACUUCGAACCUGGCCUGCAGGAGGCGCACAAGUGGCGCAUGCAGCGCCCCCUGGUGGACCGUGAUCUCCGCAAGACGCUGAUGGUGCGGGACAACCUGGCUUUCGGAGGCCCAGAAGUCUGAGGCUGCCUUGAGACCCUCCGAGCUGACAGAGGACGACUCCUCUUUCCAUCCACUUUCUUUCCAUCCACCCACCUGCAGCCCAGUAGAGGUCCUUGUUGUUCAGGGAAGCCCCUUUCUGUAGAAACCAGGCACUUGGAUCUUACUUGUUGCUGUGGGAUCAAAAUCCCAGAGUCGAGCCCGUUCACCCUAUGCCUUCCCUUCCUAGCUCUGGGGACAUCCUCCACUAGCCCUCAGUGCCUUUGUGCUGUCCUUCCCUCUGCCACUCUACCUGGAUUCAGGUAUGACUGUCCCACUGCACUCCCGGUUGCUUUCUGCUCCGGUCUCUGCCUCGCAGUUGAGCUGGACAGCACUCAAAGCUGACCCAAGGAAAAGAAUCUAAUUCAGAAGCAUGCCAGCUUGGUAUCGAUCUGCCCCGCCCACCUUUGAGGGGUCAGGUUUAGAACAAGUGUGUGGUGGGGGGCGGUGCAGAAGGGCAAGACUUUGUGAAGGGUGUGUGUG